UACAGAGACUGCAAGCGUUAUUCGGAUUCACUGGGCGUAAAGGGUGCGCAGGCGGUUGGGUGUGUCAGAUGUGAAAUCCCGAGGCUUAACCUCGGAACUGCGUCUGAAACUACUCGACUAGAGUACUGGAGAGGGAAACGGAAUUCACGGUGUAGCAGUGAAAUGCGCAGAUAUCAGGAGGAACACCGGUGGCGAAGGCGGGUCUCUGGGACGGUACUGACGCUGAGACGCGAAAGCGUGGGGGAGCGAACAGG
Molecule: ribosomal RNA, 254 nt
Filed under: uncultured bacterium
Lineage: Bacteria
Description: partial 16S ribosomal RNA
Rfam family: Bacterial small subunit ribosomal RNA
Source: RNAcentral